RNAcentral lists this ribosomal RNA (373 nucleotides) under uncultured bacterium. RNAcentral describes it as "bacterial SSU rRNA". It matches the Rfam family "Bacterial small subunit ribosomal RNA", at positions 523 to 898 of the family's 1533-position model. The record is from RNAcentral.
AUACGGAGGAUGCAAGCGUUAUCCGGAUUCAUUGGGUUUAAAGGGUGCGCAGGCGGGAAAGUAAGUCAGUGGUGAAAAACUGCCGCUCAACGGUAGUCGUGCCAUUGAUACUGCUUUUCUUGAGUUUGGAUGAGGUAGGCGGAAUGUGCAGUGUAGCGGUGAAAUGCAUAGAGAUUGCACAGAACACCAAUUGCGAAGGCAGCUUACUAAUCCACGACUGACGCUGAGGCACGAAAGCGUGGGGAGCGAACAGGAUUAGAUACCCUGGUAGUCCACGCCGUAAACGAUGUUCACUCGCUGUUUGCGAUACACAGUAAGCGGCUUAGCGAAAGCAUUAAGUGAACCACCUGGGGAGUACGAUCGCAAGGUUGAA